GCUGGCGGCGUGCCUAACACAUGCAAGUCGAACGAGAAAGUGGAGCAAUCCAUGAGUAAAGUGGCGACCGGGUGAGUAACACGUGACUAACCUACCUCCGAGUGGGGUAUAACUCCGGGAAACCGGGGCUAAUACCGCAUAACAUCGCAAGAUCAAAGCAGCAAUGCGCUUGGAGAGGGGGUCGCGGCUGAUUAGCUAGUUGGCGGGGUAACGGCCCACCAAGGCGAAGAUCGGUAUCCGGCCUGAGAGGGCGCACGGACACACUGGAACUGAAACACGGUCCAGACUCCUACGGGAGGCAGCAGUGGGGAAUUUUGCGCAAUGGGGGAAACCCUGACGCAGCAACGCCGCGUGGAGGAUGAAGCCCUUUGGGGCGUAAACUCCUUUCGACUCGGACGAUAAUGACGGUACGAGUGGAAGAAGCACCGGCUAACUCUGUGCCAGCAGCCGCGGUAAUACAAAGGGCGCAAGCGUUGUUCGGAAUUAUUGGGCGUAAAGGGCGCGUANGCGGUGCGGUAAGUCACCUGUGAAACCUCCCGGCUUUACUGGGAGCCUGCAGGCGAAACUACCGUGCUGGAGUGU
This 582-nucleotide ribosomal RNA is filed under the name uncultured bacterium. RNAcentral describes it as "bacterial SSU rRNA". It matches the Rfam family "Bacterial small subunit ribosomal RNA", at positions 35 to 649 of the family's 1533-position model. The record is from RNAcentral.